GGCGCACGGGUGAGUAACGCGUUAGAUAAUCUGCCCGACGAUCUGGGAUAACAGUUCGAAAGGACUGCUAAUACCGGAUAAGCCCACGUGGUCUUUGGACCGUGCGGGAAAAGGGGGGGACCUUCGGGCCUUCUGUCGUCGGAUGAGUCUGCGUACCAUUAGCUAGUUGGUAGGGUAAUGGCCUACCAAGGCUACGAUGGUUAGCUGGUCUGAGAGGAUGAUCAGCCACACUGGAACUGAGACACGGUCCAGACUCCUAC
This 260-nucleotide ribosomal RNA is filed under the name uncultured Geobacteraceae bacterium. RNAcentral describes it as "partial 16S ribosomal RNA". It matches the Rfam family "Bacterial small subunit ribosomal RNA", at positions 97 to 342 of the family's 1533-position model. Lineage: Bacteria; Pseudomonadati; Thermodesulfobacteriota; Desulfuromonadia; Geobacterales; Geobacteraceae. The record is from RNAcentral.